This 256-nucleotide long non-coding RNA is filed under the name Elaeis guineensis (African oil palm). Its description in RNAcentral is "long non-coding RNA (EGUI_LNC060215)". Lineage: Eukaryota; Viridiplantae; Streptophyta; Magnoliopsida; Arecales; Arecaceae. The record is from RNAcentral.
AUCUCCUCUAGAAGUCCAUCUUCAAUCUCUAAAAAGAUUUCAAAGAUUUGAAAAAAAAGAUCCAGAUCAGCCAAGAACAAAGUCUUCACACAAGCUAGCACUCCCGAGAAGAUCGAUCAGAGCGGGGCUUCGAGUGGACUUUCUAUAGAGGUCGAGCAUAUAUGCAGCUACGAGCAACUAGUGAGGACCCUCUCUAUCAUGUUCAUUAACAGCGACGAUCAUCAACCCACGAUCAGAUAUCGAGUUCUAAACUCAG